RNAcentral lists this ribosomal RNA (484 nucleotides) under uncultured bacterium. RNAcentral describes it as "partial 16S ribosomal RNA". It matches the Rfam family "Bacterial small subunit ribosomal RNA", at positions 30 to 507 of the family's 1533-position model. The record is from RNAcentral.
AUUGAACGCUGGCGGCAGGCCUAACACAUGCAAGUCGAACGGAAGAACGGUGCUUGCUUGUGGUUUCAGCGGCGGACGGGUGUGUGUUUCCUGUGAAUCUCCUUGUUUUUACUUUCUUACGUCCUCACGCAGGUGCUACUACCACAUACUUCCUGCUGGUGCACGUUGGUGAGCUUCGGACCUUACCCUCUCAUAUGAUUCUACGUCGGAUUGGGUAGUUGGUGGGGUGAAGGCCUACCUAGGCACCGAUCCGUAAGUGGUCUGAGAGGAUGAUCAGUCACACUGGAAGUGAGACACGGUCAAGAGUCCUAAGGGAGGCAGCAGUGGGGAAUAUGGGACAAUGGGCGAAAGCCUGAUCCAGCCAUGCCGCGUGUGUGAAGAAGGUCUUCGGAUUGUAAAGAACUUUUAGUGGGGAGGAAGGGCAGUAAGUUAAUACCAUGCUGGUGUGACGGUACCAACAGAAGAAGCACCGGCUAACUUCGUG